Non-coding RNA from Microcebus murinus (gray mouse lemur), 293 nucleotides. The record is from RefSeq and is a predicted model, not a curated record. Lineage: Eukaryota; Metazoa; Chordata; Mammalia; Primates; Cheirogaleidae.
UCACCUCCCAAGUCACUGACGGAAAGGUCAGCAUGGUUCCAGUUCACCACUGAAGGCACAUCCGGAGCUAUUGAUCAGGAAUUGCACAUCAGAGAGAUUAGCCCACAUCAUCUGGGUGUUUUGACUGCCUUGACAAGUAUCAAUAUAAAGAUUUCCACACCAGACCAGGACUCAUCCCCUGUUAAACAUACCACGAAGAGAGCUGUAGAGGAAGAUAGCUGUUUUCUUGAAAAUCAUCCUUAAAAGGACGGGGAAAAACUUUCACAACGAAGGGAAAAACUGAAGAACCAAAC